GAACGAUGGAUACUAGGUGUAGGAGGUAUCGACCUCUUCUGUGCCGCAGCUAACGCAAUAAGUAUCCCGCCUGGGGAGUACGGUCGCAAGGCUGACACUCAAGAGUUUGAUCCUGGCUCAGAACUAACGCUGGCGGCGUGCCUAACACAUGCAAGUCGUAACAAGGUAACCAGGUCUUGACAUCCCUACGAUUUCUAUGAAAGUAGGAAGUGCCUUUUAGGUGCAGCGUAGAGACAGGUGGUGCAUGGUUGU
This 252-nucleotide ribosomal RNA is filed under the name uncultured Bacillota bacterium. RNAcentral describes it as "uncultured Firmicutes bacterium partial 16S ribosomal RNA". It matches the Rfam family "Bacterial small subunit ribosomal RNA", at positions 804 to 1052 of the family's 1533-position model. The record is from RNAcentral. Lineage: Bacteria; Bacillati; Bacillota.